This 368-nucleotide RNase P RNA is filed under the name Lachnospiraceae bacterium. RNAcentral's name for it is "RNase P RNA component class A". It matches the Rfam family "Bacterial RNase P class A". From Rfam's summary of the family: Ribonuclease P (RNase P) is a ubiquitous endoribonuclease, found in archaea, bacteria and eukarya as well as chloroplasts and mitochondria. Its best characterised activity is the generation of mature 5'-ends of tRNAs by cleaving the 5'-leader elements of precursor-tRNAs. Lineage: Bacteria; Bacillati; Bacillota; Clostridia; Lachnospirales; Lachnospiraceae. The record is from RNAcentral.
UGAGUAGCACAGAUGGUCGCGCCUAUAACAGUGGAAACACUAUAGGUGAGGAAAGUCCGAGCUUCAUAGGGCAGAGUGCCGGAUAACGUCCGGUGGAGGCGACUCCAAGGCUAGUGCAACAGAAAUAUACCGCUAAGGUAAGUAACUAUUGCUUACACAACUUAGUAAGGGUGGAAAGGUGGCUUAAGAGACCACCGUUCGUAUGGUAACAUACGAAGCCAUGUAAACCCCACUCGAAGCAAGACCGCAUAAAAAGCUAUACGGUUGCCCGCCGUGCUUUUAGGUAGGUCGCUUGAGCUAGGUGGUAACACCUAGACCAGAUAGAUGACCAUUUAAUACAGAACUCGGCUUAUAGUGCUGCUCAUUAU